CUCGCGCGUUCGCUGAGUGAAGAAGGCAGAAGAGCUGUUUUGUUAGGAGAGUUACUUUAGAAGUCACCCUUGUUACCAAAGCACCAGGUUGUCUUGGACAUGAGGUAAGAGGGUGACACCUUGGCCUCAGCCAUCAUCUGUCUUCUGCUGGCACUGGUUGAAUCUCAUCAAGUUCAGUCUUUGAUUUAAAAAGAAACUACAAAGUAAUUUUCUUCUCCACAUCCUCUCUUGCUGAUUAACGUUGCUAAUGUUGGCAGUCUUUUAGACUUCUGAAGAUCAUAGAAUUAAUGUUUGCUGCAUUGAGGGGAUUUCUAGUGCUCCGUAUUACAAACUGUGGCAAUGUUUACCCACUUUUACAUGCUGUUUACUAUUCCUGUUUAUACUUUUGGUGAAAAAAUACUGGCUCUCCGUCUCACAGGAGUUUGCAAAUACUGUCAAAAUAUAUACACAAUAUUAGCAUGUAGGACACUAUUCUUGCUUUCAUGACAAAAUAUCAAUGCCUGGCAAAGGUAUACUUGAAGCUGUCUAUUUUGGGGAGGAGACUGAAGUUAAAAGGUAAGUAUGAGCUCCUGAUACUACCCAUAGGUAUUUGGUCUUCUAUAUCCUCAUGGAAAAAGCAAUAUAUUUAAUAAAUUCUAACCUUUUCUUGUACAAAUUUGAGUAAGGUAUCAUGUGUUUCAACUAAAACAUCUUGGGGCUUCAGAAGUUUAUGUAGAAUACAUUCCAUGAUAAGUGGGCAAGUGGGCAUCAGUACUUUCUUAAAUUCUGAUUAGCCAAAAAAACUAAUCGUUAACAUGGCUGGGUGGCCAGCCAAGCGAGAUGUAACACGUGCUCUUGUUUCCACAGAGCUACAGCCACAAUCUCUCUAUGCCAUUUUAGAGUAUAAAUAUGUUAAGGGAAGGUAUGUAAGGAAAUAGUAUAUCUUCAGGGUUUAGGAACUGUAACGUUAGGAAAGGCAUGUAUGUGUAGGAAAUCUCAAAAUUGAGCAGAUUAUACUCCAAAUCAGUCAUUUCUAGUUUUGGGGUCAGGACUUCAAAUCUCUAGAAAAACAUUUUCUGUCUGUCAAUGGAGUGGUUAUAUUUUAGAAUUUUCCAACUCAUAUCCAAAUUAA
Molecule: non-coding RNA, 1111 nt
Organism: Kogia breviceps (pygmy sperm whale)
Lineage: Eukaryota; Metazoa; Chordata; Mammalia; Artiodactyla; Physeteridae
Source: RefSeq, a predicted model, not a curated record